RNAcentral lists this long non-coding RNA (1382 nucleotides) under Anas platyrhynchos platyrhynchos (common mallard). RNAcentral describes it as "lncRNA (ENSAPLG00000020713.1)". The record is from RNAcentral. Lineage: Eukaryota; Metazoa; Chordata; Aves; Anseriformes; Anatidae.
GGAAAAGCUACAUCAGACUUAUUCUUCCCACUUUUAGUACUGACACCCAGUUUUAUUAGUCUGACACCUAAAUCCACCUACAUUCUAGAGGUUUUAUCCCCAAACUCUCAUGUUCUGACUUUUGCCACAGUUCCAUCUGGCCAGAAGUGUGGUGUAAAUGCCUGAAGUAACUAGGAAAAUAAAACUAACAUUCACACUUUUAAGGAAAAGGUACAGCAUUGAAGAGGCUUUCAGGGUAGGGCAUAACUGCAUUCCCUAGGCUCCCAACCUUAGAUGCUAUCGCGCUGGGGAAACUUGGUGUGCUAGCUCUAAGGAACACCACGGAGCGUAGAGUGGAGUGGAGACACCACGGCUAGGCUCUGUAAUCAGGUGGGGCCUCGAUUGUUCUUGUGCACAAAGCUGCACUUUUUGCCACCCUAAGCCAAAGACCUGUCAUGUUUUGACAAAUGCUGUACCCUAGUGUACUUUUUGCUCAUUAUAAUAUCAUUAUAAUACCAAAACACACCUCCAUCCCAAAAGCUACCCGCCUCCAAGGUGCGACCACCCCUCACUGAGCAUGCGCUCUGAAUUUCUCGGAGCCUAUUACUUUAAACGGAAACGGGAAAACUUUACACCAAUCAUAACUAAGAUAUGCUUGACUAGAGCCACUCAAGCUCCACCUAAAAGAUAGAAAAUAAUAUAAAUUGGCCCAAGAGAGAGGGGAUGUUAGGGAAGAUACCAUCGUCAGGGGAGAUACCAUCCCGAGGACAUACAACAUCCUUAGGACCUCCUGACUCCUGAGAUCAGUCGACGGGCUGAGCCUCUCUUCCCCCCCCAUUGGGACGCCUUUGGAUGCUCAGACAUCCAGUUCCUUAUCCAAGCAGAAGACUUCUCAAACUUGUUUUCUUCUGUUUCUCCCAUGAACAUGGUUGGAUCCUGGAGACUAAUACAGAAAAUUUAUAUGCAGCAUAUACAAAAAACAGAUAAGAAACAGGAAGCAAAAUUUUUACCGAGUAAUAUGCUCUCAGUGUGGCCUUUGGAUGGAAAGGAUGGGACUUCUGGCCUUUAGCAACUGGAGGAGUUGUGACAGAGCAGGUUUCUGGGAUUGCAAGAAAAUAGGCAGUUCUUGAAGGCUGUUAAAUAGGCAGUUCUUGAAGGGACAGAAGGUCACUAUUAUCAGCAAGAUUUCUACAAUCUGAGCAGAAAAAGUUGACCUCAAGGAUGUGGUCUCCAGGGUUCAGACUCAACAGGUACUCACAGCUUGGCACUUGCCUGAGAACCAAGGCAAGCUGAAAAUUUGAAUUAUUGAGAGCUGUCUGUCAGAAACUGAUAGCAACCAUGUUUGGCAAGUAAUAGUUUUCAAUUACUGAUAAAAUAAAUUAAGGAGGUAAGAAAUUGUGUCA